Molecule: ribosomal RNA, 871 nt
Filed under: uncultured bacterium
Lineage: Bacteria
Description: bacterial SSU rRNA
Rfam family: Bacterial small subunit ribosomal RNA
Source: RNAcentral
GGCUUAGAGUUUGAUCAUGGCUCAGGACGAACGCUGGCGGCGUGCCUAAUACAUGCAAGUCGAACGAAACUUUCUUACACCGAAUGCUUGCAUUCACCGUAAGAAGUUGAGUGGCGGACGGGUGAGUAACACGUGGGUAACCUGCCUAAAAGAAGGGGAUAACACUUGGAAACAGGUGCUAAUACCGUAUAUCUCUAAGGAUCGCAUGAUCCUUAGAUGAAAGAUGGUUCUGCUAUCGCUUUUAGAUGGACCCGCGGCGUAUUAACUAGUUGGUGGGGUAACGGCCUACCAAGGUGAUGAUACGUAGCCGAACUGAGAGGUUGAUCGGCCACAUUGGGACUGAGACACGGCCCAAACUCCUACGGGAGGCAGCAGUAGGGAAUCUUCCACAAUGGACGCAAGUCUGAUGGAGCAACGCCGCGUGAGUGAAGAAGGUCUUCGGAUCGUAAAACUCUGUUGUUAGAGAAGAACACGAGUGAGAGUAACUGUUCAUUCGAUGACGGUAUCUAACCAGCAAGUCACGGCUAACUACGUGCCAGCAGCCGCGGUAAUACGUAGGUGGCAAGCGUUGUCCGGAUUUAUUGGGCGUAAAGGGAACGCAGGCGGUCUUUUAAGUCUGAUGUGAAAGCCUUCGGCUUAACCGGAGUAGUGCAUUGGAAACUGGAAGACUUGAGUGCAGAAGAGGAGAGUGGAACUCCAUGUGUAGCGGUGAAAUGCGUAGAUAUAUGGAAGAACACCAGUGGCGAAAGCGGCUCUCUGGUCUGUAACUGACGCUGAGGUUCGAAAGCGUGGGUAGCAAACAGGAUUAGAUACCCUGGUAGUCCACGCCGUAAACGAUGAAUGCUAGGUGUUGGAGGGUUUCCGCCCUUCA